Molecule: ribosomal RNA, 406 nt
Filed under: uncultured bacterium
Lineage: Bacteria
Description: bacterial SSU rRNA
Rfam family: Bacterial small subunit ribosomal RNA
Source: RNAcentral
AGCCUUUGACAUCCCGAUCGCGGAUUAGAGAGAUCUUUUCCUUCAGUUCGGCUGGAUCGGUGACAGGUGCUGCAUGGCUGUCGUCAGCUCGUGUCGUGAGAUGUUGGGUUAAGUCCCGCAACGAGCGCAACCCUCGUCCUUAGUUGCCAUCAUUUAGUUGGGCACUUUAAGGAAACUGCCGGUGAUAAGCCGGAGGAAGGUGGGGAUGACGUCAAGUCCUCAUGGCCCUUACAGGCUGGGCUACACACGUGCUACAAUGGCGAUGACAGUGGGCAGCAAACUCGCAAGGGUGAGCUAAUCUCCAAAAGUCGUCUCAGUUCGGAUUGCACUCUGCAACUCGAGUGCAUGAAGGCGGAAUCGCUAGUAAUCGCGGAUCAGCAUGCCGCGGUGAAUACGUUCCCAGGCC